UUAUGUUUCAUAUACACCUUUACACAUAGUUGGAAGAUAAAACAUAUUUUAAAUAAUUUUGUGCAUGAAGCAAAGUUUGUGUACUCUGGACCAUUAGAGAGCAAAAGUCUCACUAUCUCAAUCACUCAUGUGAAGAAUUUUGGAGUGUUUUGGAUUUCAGAAUUAUGGGUAAGUGAUGCUCAAACUGUAACUAUCAAAAGUUAAAUGGAACAAAAUUAUUUUCCAACUACAUUCUACUUUCUGGUGACUGUACAUAUUAUUCAAAUGUGACUAUAAGUUUGCAUAUCAAUGUGUACCUAAUUAUGUCAGGCUGAGAAGCAGUCAAGGAAGUGUUUCUGUGUGUGGGUGCUUAUCCGAAAUGAAUCAUUUCAUGUUUCCUUAUUUUUUUAAUCAUGUUUAGUCUUUCCCUAAAAUAAAUUUCCCCUUCUUCUGUAACUUUAUUGAAUGGAAUUUGAUGCAGUAGCUUUCACACUCUUCAGGAUAAGAGGUCUGUGUGCUCUUGAGCUGCAUUACCUUUAGUGCUCUGAUCUGUAAUGGAUCUUUGAGAGCCUAAGAAAUGUCAAGGCUGCUGUCACCAAAAGUGGUCAGAGUUCUUGUUCUCUUGAAUAAAAUGGAAGAAAGUAUAACUCUGAAGAAAUAUCUCUAAAGAUUUCAGGGAUGGGCUAACAAAUCUGAUUUCUAUAAUUCCACAAUGUUCAUAUAUCUAAGGCAAAGACAUUAACCAGUCUAGUGAGUGUGUUAAGAGUCUAUCCUUCCAUCAAAGUAAAAUCCCAUGUGGAAACCUAAACAUAAUAAUUCCCAUUUCAUGUGUUAUAUUCUCUCUCUCUCUCUCUCUCUCUCUCUCUCUCUCUCUCUCUCUCUCUUUUUAAAAGGGGGAAUCUCACAAAUUGUAUGUACUUCAGGCAAAUAGGCAGAGUCCUUUCAAUGUGUCAUCUAUGAACGAAGAGGAGAUUCAUACCAUUCUCAGGAUGGCAGCCGUAUCCCGGGAGCGGUCAUACCAGGCCUGGACGCUGUUGAGGUGCUUCUUCCGGUUGUGGAGGUUGUCCUGGAAGGCGCACUCUCCAGAGUCGCAGAAGGACCGCUUCUAGAGGAGCAGUGCCAACACAGAGAUGAGUCAGUCCAUUAUCCUACAUUGAUCAGUACACGGAAAAGGUGAUAGCAUUCAUCAUCUGUCUUCUAUGGCAGGAAAAGACUGUGGAGAUGUAGCUUUCGGAGGUCACACUUAGAUGUUGGCCUAAAAACCUGGUCAUCGCCAGACUGGCCUUUCUACAUGCCUGUUCCCGGUGAUUGAAUAAAUAAGGUCUCAAUAAGA
Molecule: long non-coding RNA, 1312 nt
Organism: Anolis carolinensis (green anole)
Lineage: Eukaryota; Metazoa; Chordata; Lepidosauria; Squamata; Anolidae
Exons: 2
Source: RefSeq, a predicted model, not a curated record